AGCAAGGUUAACCGAAUAGGGGAGCCGAAGGGAAACCGAGUCUUAACUGGGCGUUAAGUUGCAGGGUAUAGACCCGAAACCCGGUGAUCUAGCCAUGGGCAGGUUGAAGGUUGGGUAACACUAACUGGAGGACCGAACCGACUAAUGUUGAAAAAUUAGCGGAUGACUUGUGGCUGGGGGUGAAAGGCCAAUCAAACCGGGAGAUAGCUGGUUCUCCCCGAAAGCUAUUUAGGUAGCGCCUCGUGAAUUCAUCUCCGGGGGUAGAGCACUGUUUCGGCAAGGGGGUCAUCCCGACUUACCAACCCGAUGCAAACUGCGAAUACCGGAGAAUGUUAUCACGGGAGACACACGGCGGGUGCUAACGUCCGUCGUGAAGAGGGAAACAACCCAGACCGCCAGCUAAGGUCCCAAAGUCAUGGUUAAGUGGGAAACGAUGUGGGAAGGCCCAGACAGCCAGGAUGUUGGCUUAGAAGCAGCCAUCAUUUAAAGAAAGCGUAAUAGCUCACUGGUCGAGUCGGCCUGCGCGGAAGAUGUAACGGGGCUAAACCAUGCAC
This 554-nucleotide ribosomal RNA is filed under the name Escherichia coli. RNAcentral describes it as "partial 23S ribosomal RNA". It matches the Rfam family "Bacterial large subunit ribosomal RNA", at positions 639 to 1194 of the family's 2925-position model. Lineage: Bacteria; Pseudomonadati; Pseudomonadota; Gammaproteobacteria; Enterobacterales; Enterobacteriaceae. The record is from RNAcentral.